RNAcentral lists this ribosomal RNA (842 nucleotides) under uncultured fungus. RNAcentral's name for it is "SSU rRNA". It matches the Rfam family "Eukaryotic small subunit ribosomal RNA", at positions 564 to 1429 of the family's 1831-position model. The record is from RNAcentral. Lineage: Eukaryota; Fungi.
GUGCCAGCCGCCGCGGUAAUUCCAGCUCCAAUAGCGUAUAUUAAAGUUGUUGCAGUUAAAAAGCUCGUAGUUGAACCUUGGGCCUGGCUGGCCGGUCCGCCUCACCGCGUGUACUGGUCCGGCCGGGCCUUUCCUUCUGGGGAACCUCAUGCCCUUCACUGGGCGUGUUGGGGAACCAGGGCUUUUACUUUGAAAAAAUUAGAGUGUUCAAAGCAGGCCUUUGCUCGAAUACAUUAGCAUGGAAUAAUAGAAUAGGACGUGUGGUUCUAUUUUGUUGGUUUCUAGGACCGCCGUAAUGAUUAAUAGGGAUAGUCGGGGGCAUCAGUAUUCAAUCGUCAGAGGUGAAAUUCUUGGAUUGAUUGAAGACUAACUACUGCGAAAGCAUUUGCCAAGGAUGUUUUCAUUAAUCAGUGAACGGAAGUUAGGGGAUCGAAGACGAUCAGAUACCGUCGUAGUCUUAACCAUAAACUAUGCCGACUAGGGAUCGGACGGUGUUAGUAUUUUGACCCGUUCGGCACCUUACGAGAAAUCAAAGUUUUUGGGUUCUGGGGGGAGUAUGGUCGCAAGGCUGAAACUUAAAGAAAUUGACGGGAAGGGCACCACCAGGCGUGGAGCCUGCGGCUUAAUUUGACUCAACACGGGGAAACUCACCAGGUCCAGACACAAUAAGGAUUGACAGAUUGAGAGCUCUUUCUUGAUUUUGUGGGUGGUGGUGCAUCGACGUUCUUAGGUUGGUGGAGUGGAUUUGGUCUGCUUAAGUGCGAUAACGAACGAGACCUUAACCUGCUAAUAGCCAGGCUGCUUUGGCGGGUCGCUGGCUUCUUAGAAGGGACUUAUCGGCU